AUGAAGGUAAAUCCGUUUAUAUAUUUUGUUAAGUGUAUGAAAAGUUUAUUACGUGAGAUUGAAUCUGAAUUGUUAAUCCUAAAAGUUAGUUACAAAAAUUGGAGACCUGGGAUUUGUUUAAAAUUCUGUUAUUAUCAUUUCCAUGGUUUCCACCCUUUUCAUCUGAUAUUUCUGGUUUCUGGAAUUUUGUUUUAUUUCUCUGAAUAA
Vicia faba (fava bean) is the source of this 207-nucleotide non-coding RNA. Lineage: Eukaryota; Viridiplantae; Streptophyta; Magnoliopsida; Fabales; Fabaceae. The record is from the annotation of a GenBank genome assembly.